RNAcentral lists this unclassified non-coding RNA (685 nucleotides) under Hevea brasiliensis (rubber tree). The record is from RNAcentral. Lineage: Eukaryota; Viridiplantae; Streptophyta; Magnoliopsida; Malpighiales; Euphorbiaceae.
AAUUGCUGACUUGGCCUUCCUCCAAGACAUCUUUGUUAUUCACCUUAUAACUUAUCCGUAUGCGCAUGACAAGGAUUUCUUGCCAUGUUGGCUGUUUGUGAUUCUCAACUUCUGUGUGAUUGAUCCAUUACCAUUUGCAGGUAGGGAAUUACCGCUAGCUGGAUCCAAUUGCAGUUGAAGGAACUUUGGAACUGCUGCCUGGAAGAUGAAGUCCGUGAAAACAUCUUGUGACUUAUUUGUAAAACUACCGUCAAUAAGUGUCAUCUGUGGAUUUCCAGGCUGCUUUGAGAUGUUGAAUGUUAAUCUCAAGGAGCUGCUCUCAAAUGCAGUAACUGAUGAAUGUGCUGGACCAUUGCCUUCAGACGUCGGUGGACUGGAAGGAAGCCCGUUCAAUAAAUCCAACAUAGAAGAAUUUCCACCUGUAGAAGAGACUUGAGCUGAAGGAGCUGAAGGUGUGGACAAUCUAUCUAAUAUAUCCAAUGGACUUCUAUUGUCUGUAUUGGAGGAUAACACCUGAGGUGUAGAUGGGCUGCUCUGAGCAGGAGGUGUUCCAAUCGAUAGAAGAUCCAGUAAAACAUCAGAGCCUCUCUUUUGGGCCUGAUUUGCAUCUGGUUGCAAAGAGACAGGCAUCAAAUUGACACCAAGAAGAUCUUGAAGAAACUCUCCACCAGAAGAGCUAGGUGCA